UACGUAGGGUCCGAGCGUUGUCCGGAAUUACUGGGCGUAAAGAGCUCGUAGGUGGUUUGUCGCGUUGUUCGUGAAAACUCACAGCUUAACUGUGGGCGUGCGGGCGAUACGGGCAGACUUGAGUACUGCAGGGGAGACUGGAAUUCCUGGUGUAGCGGUGGAAUGCGCAGAUAUCAGGAGGAACACCGGUGGCGAAGGCGGGUCUCUGGGCAGUAACUGACACUGAGGCGCGACAGCGUGGGGAGCAAACAGG
Molecule: ribosomal RNA, 253 nt
Filed under: uncultured bacterium
Lineage: Bacteria
Description: partial 16S ribosomal RNA
Rfam family: Bacterial small subunit ribosomal RNA
Source: RNAcentral